AACGAACGCUGGCGGCAGGCCUAACACAUGCAAGUCGAGCGCCCCUUCGGGGGAGCGGCGGACGGGUUAGUAACGCGUGGGAACGUACCCAGAUCUACGGAAUAGCCUUUGGAAACGAAGAGUAAUACCGUAUACGCCCUUCGGGGGAAAGAUUUAUCGGAUUUGGAUCGGCCCGCGUUAGAUUAGUUAGUUGGUGGGGUAACGGCCUACCAGGACGACGAUCUAUAGCUGGUUUGAGAGGAUGAUCAGCAACACUGGGACUGAGACACGGCCCAGACUCCUACGGGAGGCAGCAGUGGGGAAUCUUAGACAAUGGGCGCAAGCCUGAUCUAGCCAUGCCGCGUGAGUGACGAAGGUCUUAGGAUCGUAAAGCUCUUUCGCCAGGGAUGAUAAUGACAGUACCUGGUAAAGAAGCCCCGGCUAAUUUCG
This 429-nucleotide ribosomal RNA is filed under the name uncultured Paracoccaceae bacterium. RNAcentral's name for it is "bacterial SSU rRNA". It matches the Rfam family "Bacterial small subunit ribosomal RNA", at positions 29 to 505 of the family's 1533-position model. Lineage: Bacteria; Pseudomonadati; Pseudomonadota; Alphaproteobacteria; Rhodobacterales; Paracoccaceae. The record is from RNAcentral.